Molecule: non-coding RNA, 28 nt
Filed under: Mus musculus (house mouse)
Lineage: Eukaryota; Metazoa; Chordata; Mammalia; Rodentia; Muridae
Source: RNAcentral
UGCCUAUAAUUUUGAGGUUUGACCUUGA